AGAUGAGGUAGAGGCGCGACUAACAUGAGUAGCUUUGUCUGAGGAUGACAACGUUGACGAAAAGUAAAAGGGGAAGUCGCCGAAGUAGUAACAGGUGUCGAACUGUUUCUUGCUGGAACUGCAUUGAAUAAGUGCAGGGCUGUCAUAGCUUGAGGAGCGCUCAAGCUAUGGAGGACUACCAUUCAA
This 186-nucleotide non-coding RNA is filed under the name Halalkalibacter krulwichiae. RNAcentral describes it as "Bacillus krulwichiae Lysine sequence". It matches the Rfam family "Lysine riboswitch aptamer". Rfam says of the family: Riboswitches are metabolite binding domains within certain messenger RNAs that serve as precision sensors for their corresponding targets. Allosteric rearrangement of mRNA structure is mediated by ligand binding, and this results in modulation of gene expression. The record is from Rfam by way of RNAcentral. Lineage: Bacteria; Bacillati; Bacillota; Bacilli; Caryophanales; Bacillaceae.